Molecule: non-coding RNA, 73 nt
Organism: Phrynosoma platyrhinos (Desert horned lizard)
Lineage: Eukaryota; Metazoa; Chordata; Lepidosauria; Squamata; Phrynosomatidae
Source: the annotation of a GenBank genome assembly
GCCUGUGUGGUGUAGUGGUUUGAGUGUUGGCCUACAAAUCUAGGAGACCAGAGUUCAAAUCCCUGCUCAAACA